Molecule: ribosomal RNA, 229 nt
Filed under: uncultured bacterium
Lineage: Bacteria
Description: partial 16S ribosomal RNA
Rfam family: Bacterial small subunit ribosomal RNA
Source: RNAcentral
UCCGUAGGCGGGCGUCUAAGUCAGUGGUGAAAUCUUACAGCUCAACUGCAAAAUUGCCAUUGAUACUGGAUGUCUUGAAUUAGUGUGAAGUGGUUAGAAUGUGUAGUGUAGCGGUGAAAUGCAUAGAUAUUACACAGAAUACCAAUUGCGAAGGCAGAUCACUAACACUAUAUUGACGCUGAGGGACGAAAGCGUGGGGAGCGAACAGGAUUAGAUACCCUGGUAGUCC